AUUAAAUAGGUUUUAGCAAAAAAAAAAAAGAGUAAAACCAUACAAAUUUUAUCUUAACUAUAGACCAUUUUGAAUCGGUUACCCAACCAUUUAAAAUUUUGAUUUUAUUUAUCUAAUCUUUUAAUUAUUUGAUUUGAGUUAAUAGCGAUAUAGUUAAUUAUUUAUUUUACUAAAUUUUUAGUUGCGAAAAUCAUAUGAAAAAUACUAAUUAAAUCUUUAAAGAUAAACGAAACAACGAAACAUUCAACAUUUAAAGUCAAAACACUGUUAACUAACUCAAAUAAAAUAAAUUAAAAAAUUGGAUAGUAAGAUCAUAAAUUUAAAAGAUUGAAUAGUUAUUUCAAAAUAAUUUACAAUCUAAAUAAAUUCCGUACAUUAUUAUUUUAAAACAAUUAAUAAAACACCAACCGUUUCUAACACAAGUAGCAAAUGACUUAAUAGUUAAUAUCCGAAGUCUUAAAUUCGAAGCGUAAUUAUUUAGAAAUAAAUGGAGCGGUCAGCUUGUUAUCUUUUUCUAAGACUAAGUCUUCGUUUGGGAUUGCGGGAAGAUUGCGUUACGUACGGUGAGAAAAUACGAUAAAAAAAUACUUGUUUAUUUAUAUAUGUAAUAUUGCGUUCCACAUAUCGCGAUAAGUUAGUUAUGAUAUUUUUUUUGCGGUUUCACUAGAAAACACAAAAAUAUAUUUCUGUAUGCUUUUAUACCAAUUUUAUUUUAUCUACUAUUGUUUGGUUGGGGGUUAAGGGAUAACCCCUUAACCCCCAUAUUAUCCCCAAACACCUCCAAAAAAGGGUGGGGUUAGCUAAUCCAACCUCAAAUAGGCUAUUCCGGAUUAGCUAACCCCACCUAACCUUACCAUAUCCUAACCAAACACUAUUUUCUAUUCAUAAUAACACACUAUUCUUCUUAUCCCACCUACUCCAACCAAACACACUAUUUUCUAUUCAUAAUAACACACUAUCCUUCUUACCCCAUCUCAACCUUAAACUUAAUUCUAUCCCUAAAAUAAUUAAUUUUUUUUUAAUCUCGAACCAAACGGUAAGAGUGCCUGAUAGACCCCAAUACUAUACUGAGCAUUAUUACCAUUUCUUUUCUUUUCUUUUCUUUUUUUCUUUCUUUUUUUCCUUUUUUUUUUACUUUUUCCUCCCCU
Molecule: long non-coding RNA, 1148 nt
Filed under: Ananas comosus (pineapple)
Lineage: Eukaryota; Viridiplantae; Streptophyta; Magnoliopsida; Poales; Bromeliaceae
Description: long non-coding RNA (ACOM_LNC033733)
Source: RNAcentral